GGCCUGUGCAACUGUGACCUUGCCUCUG
RNAcentral lists this non-coding RNA (28 nucleotides) under Rattus norvegicus (Norway rat). The record is from RNAcentral. Lineage: Eukaryota; Metazoa; Chordata; Mammalia; Rodentia; Muridae.